RNAcentral lists this ribosomal RNA (460 nucleotides) under uncultured bacterium. Its description in RNAcentral is "partial 16S ribosomal RNA". It matches the Rfam family "Bacterial small subunit ribosomal RNA", at positions 338 to 795 of the family's 1533-position model. The record is from RNAcentral.
CCUACAGGAGGCAGCAGUGAGGAAUAUUGGUCAAUGGGCGCGAGCCUGAACCAGCCAAGUAACGUGAAGGAUGACUGCCCUACGGGUUGUAACCUUCUUUUAUAAAGGAAUAAAGUGAGGCACGUGUGCCUUUUGUUAUGUACUUUAUGAAUAAGGAUCGGCUAACUCCGUGCCAGCAGCCGCGGUAAUACGGAGGAUCCGAGCGUUAUCCGGAUUUAGUGGGUUUAAAGGGAGCGGAGAUGGGUUGUUAAGUCAGUUGUGAAAGUUUGCGGCUCAACCGUAAAAUUGCAAUUGAUACUGGCAGUCUUGAGUACAGUUGAGGUAGGCGGAAUUCGUGGUGUAGCGGUGAAAUGCUUAGAUAUCACGAAGAACUCCGAUUGCGAAGGCAGCUUACGAAACUGCCACUGACAUUGAUGCUCGAAAGUGUGGGUAUCAAACAGGAUUAGAGACCCCAGGAGUC